This 467-nucleotide ribosomal RNA is filed under the name Segatella oris. RNAcentral describes it as "bacterial SSU rRNA". It matches the Rfam family "Bacterial small subunit ribosomal RNA", at positions 28 to 484 of the family's 1533-position model. Lineage: Bacteria; Pseudomonadati; Bacteroidota; Bacteroidia; Bacteroidales; Prevotellaceae. The record is from RNAcentral.
GAUGAACGCUGGCUACAGGCUUAACACAUGCAAGUCGAGGGGAAACGACGGGGAAGCUUGCUUCCCCGGGCGUCGACCGGCGCACGGGUGAGUAACGCGUAUCCAACCUGCCUCUGACUGAGGGAUAACCCGUCGAAAGUCGGCCUAAUACCUCAUGGCAUCGUCUGCGGGCAUCCAACGACGAUUAAAGAUUUCAUCGGUCGGGGAUGGGGAUGCGUCUGAUUAGCUUGUUGGCGGGGUAACGGCCCACCAAGGCGACGAUCAGUAGGGGUUCUGAGAGGAAGGUCCCCCACAUUGGAACUGAGACACGGUCCAAACUCCUACGGGAGGCAGCAGUGAGGAAUAUUGGUCAAUGGGCGAGAGCCUGAACCAGCCAAGUAGCGUGCAGGAUGACGGCCCUAUGGGUUGUAAACUGCUUUUAUGCGGGGAUAAAGUGAGGGACGUGUCCUUCAGUGCAGUACCGCAUG